GAUGAACGCUGGCGGCGUGCCUAAUACAUGCAAGUAGAACGCUGAAGGAAGGAGCUUGCUCUUUCCGGAUGAGUUGCGAACGGGUGGGUAACGCGUAGGUAACCUGCCUGGUAGCGGGGGAUAACUAUUGGAAACGAUAGCUAAUACCGCAUAACAGUAGAUGUUGCAUGAUAUCUACUUAAAAGGUGCAAUUGCACCACUACCAGAUGGACCUGCGUUGUAUUAGCUAGUUGGUGAGGUAACGGCUCACCAAGGCGACGAUACAUAGCCGACCUGAGAGGGUGAUCGGCCACACUGGGACUGAGACACGGCCCAGACUCCUACGGGAGGCAGCAGUAGGGAAUCUUCGGCAAUGGACGGAAGUCUGACCGAGCAACGCCGCGUGAGUGAAGAAGGUUUUCGGAUCGUAAAGCUCUGUUGUAAGAGAAGAACGAGUGUGAGAGUGGAAAGUUCACACUGUGACGGUAUCUUACCAGAAAGGGACGGCUAACUACGUG
This 497-nucleotide ribosomal RNA is filed under the name uncultured bacterium. Its description in RNAcentral is "partial 16S ribosomal RNA". It matches the Rfam family "Bacterial small subunit ribosomal RNA", at positions 28 to 507 of the family's 1533-position model. The record is from RNAcentral.